AACGCGAAGAACCUUACCAGGGCUUGACAUACACAGGAAUGUCGGGGAAACUCGGCAGCCCUUCGGGGCCUGUGCACAGGUGCUGCAUGGCUGUCGUCAGCUCGUGCCGUGAGGUGUUGGGUUAAGUCCCGCAACGAGCGCAACCCUCGUCGCUAGUUGAAUUUCUCUAGCGAGACCGCUGCGCGAAACGCAGAGGAAGGUGGGGAUGACGUCAAGUCAGCACGGCCCUUACGUCCUGGGCUACACACACGCUACAAUGGGCGCUACAAUGGGUUGCCAAGUCGCGAGGCGGAGCUAAUCCCAUCAAAGGCGUCCUCAGUUCAGAUCGCAGGCUGAAACCCGCCUGCGUGAAGGCGGAGUUGCUAGUAACCGCAGGUCAGCACACUGCGGUGAAUACGUUCCCGGGCCUUGUACACACCGCUCGUC
Molecule: ribosomal RNA, 426 nt
Filed under: uncultured bacterium
Lineage: Bacteria
Description: bacterial SSU rRNA
Rfam family: Bacterial small subunit ribosomal RNA
Source: RNAcentral